UAAAACUGUGUGGUUCUUACUAAGUUUUCGAGGUUGAUGUCGCUUUAUAACACAUAACCACCAUGCACCUAUUACGAAGACAGUGUUUGAAAAGUUUGUAGUAAUUUUGAGAAGGUUGCUUAUUAAUAGCUUUCAAAAGUUUUAUAUUUGCUAUUCUAGAUUUAUUCUAGAUACAUUAACUUUUAAUGAUAAACUGAAGCAACCUAUGUUUGAUAAGAAAAAGUACAGACAAAGUCACUUUAUGGGAUCAAACUAUGAUGUAGAGUUAAACUAAUAAAUAAAAUAUAGAAAACUUUAUCUUCCUAAAAAUUGUGCAAUAUUCAAUGGAAUGGCUCAAGUCUAAACUCCGUUGGUCAAAGUUUAGUUAAAAUGAAACAUAAGCUUAGCAAUUAUUGAUAAGUCACUGGAAUAUUAAUUAAAGAGUCGUAUACUUCUUGAAUUAUGUUUCGUCUUGUUUCUAAAUCCGAAAUCUUCGUAGGCGAUUUUAGAGCUUUAGGAGACCACAUGUAAAUGUUCCCAUUCAUAUCACCAGUAAAACACUGUUCAAAGUCAGGACGAUAGGCAGCACAAUUAAUACGUUUUAAACUGUGGGUUGAAAGUCGGCGCACAAACGAGCCUUCUAACAAGUUCAAUAAGGCAAGAGACCCAUCAUCGUUGGGGAAUAACACAAAAACAUCUGAAUCCAUAGAGGGUUGGAUCAUGCAAGGAUGUACCGCGAAGGAAGUAGUCUGGUUAUGAAUAAUAGGUCCAAAUUCUCUCAAUGUGUUUCUUCCACUUUCCAUAUUCCAUACUCUUAUUCGAUCGUCGGUACCACAACUUGCCAAAUAUCGAGCAUCUGAAGUCCAAGCUAAUCCAUUAACGGUGCCGUAAUGAGAUAUAUUUGUCUGGUUACUGGGUAAAUACUUAUUAUGUAGAUCCAUACAUGCGAAGCUGGAUGAUACUUUACGAAUGUCCCAAAGUCUGCAAGUGCCAUCUGCAGAGCCGGACGCUAACACGAAUUCAUUCUUAGGACACCAAUCCACCGCAAGGACAUUACCCGUGUGUCCAGACAAACUAUGAGUAUAACUACCACUUUGCAUAUCACAAAGCCGAAUAGACGAAGACCGGUAGGCGGCUAUCGUUAGAUGAACAAUCUCAAGAAUGAAGAAUAUAACGUACUGGCAAUUAAACAAUGUGAUGCAAUGGGCGACCAUGCAUGUGAAUAAAUCAUGUCCUCCAUAGUAAAAGUGUAAGCUUCCUACCAAUAUUAGAACAUUGGUUAAUUUGCGAUUUCUACUUUUAUUACCUGUAAAGUAGAAACAUCCCAAACCUUGAGCGUAUGAUCGAACGACGAGCUAGUAAAAAUACCAUUAUCAAACGGAAACCAAUGCAAAUCUGUUAUUCCAAACUUAUGACUCGUUCGACUAAAACACCGCAAGUUAGCUAUUGAUCACUAGUGUAUAUAUUGAAAUUGUCAUAAACUAGGUAGAAAAUGAAUGCUU
Non-coding RNA from Schizosaccharomyces pombe (fission yeast), 1481 nucleotides. Lineage: Eukaryota; Fungi; Ascomycota; Schizosaccharomycetes; Schizosaccharomycetales; Schizosaccharomycetaceae. The record is from the annotation of a GenBank genome assembly.